AGUAAGUUAUAAGAAACUCACUAACCUUUACCCUUUUGGAUAGACUUUCGAGCAUCAGUGGAAUUGAAUGUUAACAUCCUUGACAUUAGAACAGUGAUUCUCAAAUUACACUGGUUCCAUCUAGUGCAAAGAAUCACUCAAUUAAUCAAUUAAGUGAUUCAAACACAAGUGUUACUCUUCAAAGUGUGUGUAAUGUUACAGUGACCAAAAACAUAAAAUAUACUUAUUCAAAUCAAACCUCUGCAUUGUUUUAAUGAAUAUUUAGCCCUACUACGCUACUAUAUUUUAAUGUUGGUCAUUAUGGUGAGAGACAAGUGUUUUCUGAGGUGGUACUUGGUGAAAAAGGUUUUAGAGAACCACUGUAUUAGAGGACUAGUACACAAACCAAAGAAUGAUCUUUGGAAGACCAUCUAACAUCGUGUUCCUUUCCCUUUCCAGCGACUCUCGGAUCUUUCACUCAAGAACAAAUGUUACUUGUGAACUUUCUCGAUUUUCUCGGGUUGUCAGGGGGUACCAACGCUGGAACCACGAACAACGGCGACGUCAUGCUGAUCCUGCUGACUGUCCUAACAGUUUUGGGCCUGCUCCAUGUCUAACGAGACCAGAAGUGAGGAGGAAGAGCAGGCGGUCAUCGGUUCCAAUGAUGACACAUCACAUGGGUUCUAUUAAAAGUUUUUACUGUCUUCUAUGACUACUUACUCAAACGUGUGUAGGUACUUGAGAGCAGCAGGGCUCGGCUAAUUGUUUGCAUCGACAUCAUUAAAGCAAGCUCAUUUCGACAAAAGGGAACUUCAUGCCUCACGAGUUUGUACAGUUUGAGAAGAGCCAAACGCAGGCGACAUUUAAUUUUGUGUUUAUUUGUUGCAUGUAGCAGCAGUGUAAAGUAUUUAUGGAUUUGUUGUGAUCUAGACGCAUUAAUAAAGAUGAAACUGUCAUUUUGUCCUUCAAGACGCCGUUGCAUCACAAUGGUAAUGCUCAAAUCUUGUUCUUUUUUUUUUAGCAAAAUAAAUUAUUCAGAUUGACUUUUGGCCGUUACAAAAAGCUCUGUGCAGUUGAAGAGACGAUAUAGCUCUCAACUGACCUAAGAACUUAACUAGAUGAAGUAGCCGUAAAGCAGGAAGCAUCUGACUUGACUCUUGAUUGGUCAACACUGCAAAAAGUCAGUGUUCAAAAACAAGAACAAAAAAUACAAAAAUUAGGGGUAUUUUAUUUGAACUAAGCAAAAUUAUCUGCCAAUAGAACAAGAAAAUUUGGACUUUCCAAAACAAGGAAAAUUAGCUAACUUCAAUGAACCCAAAAGUACCUUAAAAUAAGUAUUUUCUCUCUAACAACAAGUGCACUUUUCUUGGUAGAAAAAACAAAUAUGAGACCUUUUUGCUCAAUAUGUUGUAAAAUAUUCUUAAAUAAAGUAAAUGCUAGUGCCAUUAUCUUGACAUAAUGAUAUGCGCUCGGCAUUACAUUUCUUGAAACCAGCAAACUUAUACUAAAAACUAAUUAAUUGUUCUUAAUGGAAAGGCAACAAGGCAAGCGCUUGUUACUUUCGGGGUCUCCUAGCCGCUCAGGCAAAUCAUAUUGUCUAAAAAUGCAUUUUUCCAUCGACAACAUGACAUUAUCGCGCCAAGUGCGUGCUCUUUCAGUCAAUUAGUGCGCAUAUAUACAGCCCGGCCCCCGGACAAAUUUUUUGUAUUGUAAUUUUGAAGAAUUUAUCUGAAUGUGCAUGAACUAUUUCUGUUCAAAAUUGUUUGAAAUGUUAAAUGUUUAAAUAUUAACUGUCAGUUUACUGUACUGUGCCAACUGUACUACUAUACGAGUAUGUAUUUUCUCUUGUUUCAUUGGAAAUAAAGCAGCAAAGUCCA
Molecule: long non-coding RNA, 1856 nt
Organism: Entelurus aequoreus (snake pipefish)
Lineage: Eukaryota; Metazoa; Chordata; Actinopteri; Syngnathiformes; Syngnathidae
Exons: 2
Source: RefSeq, a predicted model, not a curated record